GCUUUUGGCGAAGGAAGCGCGCCCUUUUAAGCAGGGUGUCCGGGGUUCGAAUCCCCGCUGGAGCA
This 65-nucleotide transfer RNA is filed under the name Caudoviricetes sp. RNAcentral's name for it is "tRNA-Lys". The record is from RNAcentral. Lineage: Duplodnaviria; Heunggongvirae; Uroviricota; Caudoviricetes.